UUGGAGGGCAAGUCUGGUGCCAGCAGCCGCGGUAAUUCCAGCUCCAAUAGCGUAUAUUAAAGUUGUUGCAGUUAAAAAGCUCGUAGUUGAAUUUCGGGAUCAAUAUGCCGGUCAUGCCUUGGUAUGCACUGGUAUCUUUGAUUUCUCCCUUCUGACGAACUUUGAUGUCAUUAAUUUGGUGUCAUAGGGAAUCAGGACUUUUACUGUGAAAAAAUUAGAGUGCUCCAGGCAGGCCUAUGCUCGAAUACAUUAGCAUGGAAUAAUAGAAUAGGACGUGUGGUUCUAUUUUGUUGGUUUCUAGGACCGCCGUAAUGAUUAAUAGGGAUAGUCGGGGGCAUCAGUAUUCAAUUGUCAGAGGUGAAAUUCUUGGAUUUAUUGAAGACUAACUACUGCGAAAGCAUUUGCCAAGGAUGUUUUCAUUAAUCAGGAACGAAAGUUAGGGGAUCGAAGACGAUCAGAUACCGUCGUAGUCUUAACCAUAAACUAUGCCGACUAGGGAUCGGAUGAUGUUAAUUUUUUAAUGACUCAUUCGGCACCUUACGGGAAAC
Molecule: ribosomal RNA, 548 nt
Filed under: uncultured Glomus
Lineage: Eukaryota; Fungi; Glomeromycota; Glomeromycetes; Glomerales; Glomeraceae
Description: bacterial SSU rRNA
Rfam family: Eukaryotic small subunit ribosomal RNA
Source: RNAcentral